GGAUCUCUUGGUUCUGGCAUCGAUGAAGAACGCAGCGAAAUGCGAUAAGUAGUGUGAAUUGCAGAAUUCAGUGAAUCAUCGAAUCUUUGAACGCACAUUGCGCCCCUUGGUAUUCCAUGGGGCAUGCCUGUUCGAGCGUCAUUUGUACCCUCAAGCUAUGCUUGGUGUUGGGUGUUUGUCCUAUCCAUUGCGACUGGACUCGCCUUAAAGAUAUUGGCAGCCGGCAUUUUGGCCUUGGAGCGCAGCACAAUUUGCGAGUCCAAGCCGGAAUACUGACGUCCAGAUAAGCUUUUUACCACGUUUGACCUCGGAUCAGGUAGGGAUACCCGCUGAACUUAAGCAUAUCAAUAAGCGGAGGA
Molecule: ribosomal RNA, 359 nt
Filed under: uncultured fungus
Lineage: Eukaryota; Fungi
Description: eukaryotic LSU rRNA
Rfam family: 5.8S ribosomal RNA (bases 1-141)
Source: RNAcentral